AACGAACGCUGGCGGCAGGCCUAACACAUGCAAGUCGAGCGAGAUCUUCGGGUCUAGCGGCGGACGGGUGAGUAACGCGUGGGAAUAUGCCUCUUGGUACGGAAUAGCCUCGGGAAACUGGGAGUAAUACCGUAUGUGCCCUUUGGGGGAAAGAUUUAUCGCCAAGAGAUUAGCCCGCGUUGGAUUAGGUAGUUGGUGGGGUAAUGGCCUACCAAGCCGACGAUCCAUAGCUGGUUUGAGAGGAUGAUCAGCCACACUGGGACUGAGACACGGCCCAGACUCCUACGGGAGGCAGCAGUGGGGAAUCUUAGACAAUGGGGGCAACCCUGAUCUAGCCAUGCCGCGUAAGUGAUGAAGGCCUUAGGGUUGUAAAGCUCUUUCAGCUGGGAAGAUAAUGACGGUACCAGCAGAAGAAGCCCCGGCUAACUCCGUG
RNAcentral lists this ribosomal RNA (433 nucleotides) under uncultured bacterium. RNAcentral describes it as "partial 16S ribosomal RNA". It matches the Rfam family "Bacterial small subunit ribosomal RNA", at positions 29 to 507 of the family's 1533-position model. The record is from RNAcentral.